This is a long non-coding RNA of Gallus gallus (chicken), 1169 nucleotides long. RefSeq lists it as uncharacterized. The transcript has 5 exons. The record is from RefSeq and is a predicted model, not a curated record. Lineage: Eukaryota; Metazoa; Chordata; Aves; Galliformes; Phasianidae.
UGCAGAGAGGCAGAGAUGAGGCUGUUAACAAACUCAGAUUGCUAGGGAAUCACCACAUCCCUGAAGUUAUUGUCCAAGUGUUCUGACACUGAAUGGCCUAUCCAUAAAUUGCAGAGUGCAGUAUUUAUACACGUUUUUAUGAGGAACGUGAAUGUCACCUUAAGUGGAUGUUGCAAUGCUGCUGCUCCUUCAAAAACCAUCUUCCUGACCUAGUUCUCCUUGCUGCUUUUCUUUGGGAGGCAACUGUCACGUGUUUCAGGGUGCUGCCAGUUGCUGUGAUGGACGUCUUGCUCCCUCCUAAAUGCUGGUUCUGUGUUGGGAGGCAGCAACUGUGCAGAGCCAGGGUGUACCAGUGGAUGAGUCACUGUGCCUCAUGUGUUUUCUCUGCUUUUCUUCUGCCGGAGUGUGCUGUAGCCCUGGGUUUGCCCCAUGCAGCAUAAGGCAUUACAAAGACUUUUUCUCAUAGUCAGUUUUGUGUGUGCCAUGGUGACAGUGAAGACUCUACUGAGCUGAAGUAUUGAACUGUGGUCUGUGCCCUCUUUAUGGCCGAAGACCCCCAUGAUGGCCCACAUCCACAUCCCAUCCUGAGAAUUCUGAUUAUCUGGUAGCCGUGGCACGAAUGGCAAGAGAACAGGAUGCAUGUUGGGAUGCUAGCAUGCUAGCAGCUAGCUGCAUGCAACCAUCUUUUAUAGACAAAAGUAUCCUGCUUUCCAGCCCAGCCCAGAGAGCUAUGCUUUGACUGUGGUCCUGCUGUUCAUGGACCAUGUAUACCUGGCUGAGGAGAGGGCUCCUGAAGAGGAAAGUUCAUUUGGAGGUGGUCUGCAGGGGUGAUAGUAUUGCUCCAUACUACAACUGAUUUGCUAGUUUCAGUAUGAAGAAAUGAAAAGUGUGUGGCUUGUUGAUUGGACUAGGUGGAAGUAUUGUGUCAGUACUCCUCGUGUAAAGUGGACAACGUUCAUGUGUAAAUAGCAGUCACUCUCAGCCUGUAUCUUCAGUGGCAAUACAUAUAGAAUGACACUGUUCUAAGGUGCUUCUUCAAGCUAAGCUGGAGGAAAUGAGUAUGAAUAAUCCCUCUCUUUUCAUGCAGAAAACAAGACUUUGUGGCUAAAAGAUGAAUGAAAAGAGUGGUUGCACACUGUACUCUGAAUAAAUAACAUCUAAUUACUGAA